GAUGAAGAACGCAGCGAAAUGCGAUAAGUAAUGUGAAUUGCAGAAUUCAGUGAAUCAUCGAAUCUUUGAACGCACAUUGCGCCCCUUGGUAUUCCGAGGGGCAUGCCUGUUCGAGCGUCAUUAUAACCCCUCAAGCUCAGCUUGGUGUUGGGGGCUGCUGCACUGGCAGCCCUUAAAAUCAGUGGCGGCGCCAUCUGGCUCUAAGCGUAGUAAUUCUUCUCGCUAUGGAGUCCUGGUGGAUGCUUGCCAUCAACCCCCAAUUUUUCUAUGGUUGACCUCGGAUCAGGUAGGGAUACCCGCUGAACUUAAGCAUAUCAAUAAGCGGAGGA
This 329-nucleotide unclassified non-coding RNA is filed under the name soil metagenome. RNAcentral describes it as "partial contains 5.8S ribosomal RNA, internal transcribed spacer 2, and large subunit ribosomal RNA". The stretch from base 1 to 120 matches the Rfam family "5.8S ribosomal RNA", at positions 35 to 154 of the family's 154-position model. The record is from RNAcentral.